AUUGAACGCUGGCGGCAGGCCUAACACAUGCAAGUCGAGCGGAUGAAGGGAGCUUGCUCCUGGAUUCAGCGGCGGACGGGUGAGUAAUGCCUAGGAAUCUGCCUGGUAGUGGGGGAUAACGUCCGGAAACGGGCGCUAAUACCGCAUACGUCCUGAGGGAGAAAGUGGGGGAUCUUCGGACCUCACGCUAUCAGAUGAGCCUAGGUCGGAUUAGCUAGUUGGUGGGGUAAAGGCCUACCAAGGCGACGAUCCGUAACUGGUCUGAGAGGAUGAUCAGUCACACUGGAACUGAGACACGGUCCAGACUCCUACGGGAGGCAGCAGUGGGGAAUAUUGGACAAUGGGCGAAAGCCUGAUCCAGCCAUGCCGCGUGUGUGAAGAAGGUCUUCGGAUUAUAAAGCACUUUAAGUUGGGAGGAAGGGCAGUAAGUUAAUACCUUGCUGUUCUGACGUUACCAACAGAAUAAGCACCGGCUAACUUCGUG
Molecule: ribosomal RNA, 484 nt
Filed under: uncultured bacterium
Lineage: Bacteria
Description: partial 16S ribosomal RNA
Rfam family: Bacterial small subunit ribosomal RNA
Source: RNAcentral